Molecule: unclassified non-coding RNA, 218 nt
Filed under: soil metagenome
Description: partial contains 5.8S ribosomal RNA, internal transcribed spacer 2, and large subunit ribosomal RNA
Source: RNAcentral
AACUGAUACUACCUGCGGGAACCUGCGGAGGGAUCAUUAUAGAGUUUUCUAAACUCCCAACCCAUGUGAACUUACCUUUUGUUGCCUCGGCAGAGGUUACCUGGUACCUGGAGACAGGUUACCCUGUAGCAACUGCCGGUGGACUACUAAACUCUUGUUAUUUUAUGUAAUCUGAGCGUCUUAUUUUAAUAAGUCAAAACUUUUAACAACGGAUCUCU